RNAcentral lists this long non-coding RNA (3824 nucleotides) under Mytilus galloprovincialis (Mediterranean mussel). The record is from RNAcentral. Lineage: Eukaryota; Metazoa; Mollusca; Bivalvia; Mytilida; Mytilidae.
AAAAAGAAACUAUUUUGAAUAAAAGAAAGUAUCGGUAAAGACAAGGAUAAAACGAAAAUGAUGCAAAGUUUAAGUGUGACUUUUUUUGUGCUUUUUUCCAUCUCUGGUAAGUACACAUGCUGAUGUAUGGACCUAAUUACUAUUAUAUUAAGAAUAUACAUGUAUUUGUUCAUUUUCUCACAGGUGAUACAUUCGACAAUUUAUGCAUAUUUAAAUCGAAUAGUGAAAGUUUUAUUUUUGGAAAAGUUUGAAUAUCUUUUUGUCCGAAAUAUUUUUGUACGCUUUGACCAUUGUGGUCCAAUUUAUAGGCUUUUAGUUAAAAAAAAUAAUUCAAAUUAUUUCAAAACAUCAUCGACCUCAAGUGGAAGCCGUGACUUGUUAAUUCCAUUUUGAAAUCCUGAUAGUACCAUUAGUUAUCUUAAAUUCCCGAAAUACCAAUAAAACUCCAUUAGAAUAUUUUUGAAGUAUAUACGUAGCAGCCUUGUAAUUCAGUGGUUGUCGUUUGUUUAUGUGUUACAUAUUUGAUUUUCGUUCAUUUUUCUUACAUAAAUAAGGCCGUUAGUUUUCUCGUUUGAAUUGUUUUACAUUGUCUAUCGGGCCUUUUAUAGCUGACUAUGCGGUAUGGGCUUUGCUCAUUGUUGAAGGCCGUACGAUGACCUAUAGUUGUUAAUGUCUGUGUCAUUUUGGUCUUUUGUGGAUAGUUGUUGACAAUCAUACCACAUCUUCUUUUUUAUAUUGUAUAUUGGAUAGGAAAACAUAGUGAUUCGAAAUAUUCAAACAUUUUAUGAACAAAAAAAUUUACAUAAAAUGAGCACAUCAAAAAAACUCUGCAUGGCUUCGGCCAAUUUUGGUCUGGUAGAGAAACUUCAUCGUUUUGCAAUUUUUGAAUGAACAGUGAUAAGAAAAUUCCGUGUUUUUAUUUAUUUCUCCUAUGAUUCAUACAUGUGUUACCGGAAGACAUUCAAGAUUCGUGCAUUUGGGUUUCAACUAAUUGCUUUCAUCCCGGUGCGGAGCUAUUAGUUUCAAUUGAAAUACACGCCAUCUUGAAUAAAUUACUUUUCACGUAUAUAUUCUGAUUGGAUGCGGCUGAGAUACAGCAACAGCUAUUGGCUUAAAUGAGAUAAAGAAUUACAGACUUUUCUCGGCCAGGAUAAGACAUUAAAUGCCGGAAAAUUGACAAUUCAGUUCCAAACAACUGUCAUUAAUUCAAGUUCGUUUUAUUUUGCAUAUAUACAUUUCACAGAUGAAUUCAAUACUGAAAUAUCAAUUAUUAAUACGUGUGUAUUUGCUUUGUUACUCAGUUUGCACGAUUUGCUUUACUAAACAAUAUAUAUGUUCAUAUACAAUAUUAUGUUUAUAAAAAAGCAUUAUCUGUAGUUUAUAACUUCUGACAAUCUAGGCACACCCUAGAGUCGUGUCGUUUUACAAUUGUUUUAAUUUUCAACAAGAAAUUUAGAUUUUUAAAAGCAUGGAUAUAUAACGCAUACAGACACUCUUAAUAUAAAGAACAUCAAGUUUUUAUCAAUCAAUAUCUAAAAAUACCACAUUUCCAAAACUAAUUAACAACCACAUGCACACAUAUUACCUUAAAUUAGCGUAGAGCGAAGCAGUCCAUAGCUUUUUAGAAAGCUAAAACUUGUUACAUAAAUUAUGUAUCGCCGUUUUUAACACACUCCAUAUAAAUUAGGUGCGGAUCACGGAUUUUAAAAUGGGACACAUAUUUAGUCAAUGUCUGGACUGUUGCAUUGUAAAAAGUAUAUACAUUUUUCACAUGUGUGUAGCUUCAUAAAGGGGUGCCAUCUUCCCUAAAUCCGCCUCUGUUAAUUGCCAAGUGUGCACAUGCCACAACAUGUAUAAUACAAAUUGGUCCCGUUUAUUGAGUUGCGGCCUCUUGUUACUGUUACCAGGGGCGGAUCCAGGAAUUUAAAAAGGGGGCGACGGUUUUAAAAGUUUGACGAGCGGAGCGAGGCGAAAAAUGUUUGGGAUCUUUUUUGGGUUUAAAAACAUAAAAUUAGUGUAACAUGCACUUUUUGAACGGUUCCUGUCGUGGGGCAUGUAUAUUCUAUAGUUGCUGUAAAGUGUAAGGGUUGGACAUUUUUUAUGCUGUAUUAUAUAUUCUCCCUAUUGAUUGUCUAUCAUAAAAUGAUAGCAUGGAUCCAAAGCUAUGUACUGAUAUAUUUGAUGUGGGACUUGUCAGUAAAAAAUAGACAUGGAAAAUUCUCGUUUGUUGUAUGUUAAGUUAGCAUAACCUCACAUAUUUCUUGUUGUAAACAAGAAAUACGCCGAGUUAUUCGAUGAAAUUUACAAUACGACCGACAAGAGUUUAAAAAGUCAAACAAGCAAUUUUUAUCCGAAUGUUUGGUUGAUAUGUUUUUUCACGCAACAAAAUUAAGGGAGGUGAGAGGUUCCAAAUCAAUCAAAGGCUACGAAUGAGUCUGAAAUGACAACGAAUUUAUGAAUGACGGUCGACAAAUGGAGACAUAAAGGCCACACUCAGCAGUCAGGUUGAAGUCUGCAGCAUGGUCUUGAAAAAAAGAAUUCAAUAUAUCAGUUCGGCGAAACAGACAUUCCGGUCAGACAUGCAAACCCCGGCCCUAAAAAAAUACGCCUGUUUUUUGUUCAUCAUGUUCAUUUAAUGCUAAAUACUUCUGUUGGAAAUUUUCAUUUCUAAUUGCAAAAAAAGUGGACAAGGUUAUUGGUUUCAAUCCAGAUACGGCCAGAAUUUUUAUUCAAUGCAAAAACCAGAGUCAGAUUUUUUUCUUUCAAAUACCUUAGACUGCCUCCUCAAAUCAAAUGGUUCUUACUUACGACUUUAAAUAGAUAUAGAGCUUAUACUGACUGGGGUCAUUAUUCAGAUAUCAUGUUAUUUUAAAAUAGGCUGGGGCGUUUGGGGUUAAACAUGUUUUCGUAGGUAAAUAAUAUUGCUGUGGAUUUUUUUCAUGAGAGUGUAAUAGAGUAUUACUUUCUGUUUGGUUGAAUUGUGAAAUAGAAGUCACUACGUUCUUGCUCAAUCCUGUGUCGCUUUGAAGGUAUCAUGGUUGUCAUCCUCAGCCUAAGCAAUGGGUUACUGUAAUUUGAAUUUCAAAAUGACUGAGUGACGGGUUUUUUUUGACACACUGGUCAACUCCAUAUUAAUAGCGAAUCACAUGACUUUGACAUAAUCAGUAAAUACCAGCGAAAAAUAUCUUUAUAAGUAAAGAAUUGUCACAUAAAUAUUAAAUACACGGGAAAUGGCAAUGUUCACGAAGUCUAGUCUGAUUAAUCAUUUAAAAAAAAAGUUCAAAUCCUCCAAUAUAACGUUGCACAUGCAUGCACAACCUUUAUUUACAGGAAUGUACAUAUUAUAUACACUAAGCACUCAUGGUACGUUGGUCAAUAUAUAGAUUUGAUAUUAAAAGCAAUGUCUAGUUAAAUAAAAUCUACGAACGGUCGUCACUGAAGUAAAGUAGUGUCUCCUCCAUGACAGUCUUAAACUUUAAAACUCAAUAUUUAAAAAUAAAAAAACCACUGCUAUUUUACGUGUUAGGUAAAGGUUGGUUAUCACUGUGCACAACCGUUCAACAAAGAAUUCUAUUGGGAAAAACCAGAAAACUCUUUUUGUCAGAAAACACUGUCAAACAUCCAAACAUACUAUCCACACUGAUCUGUGUCCACACUUGUAAUUUAUGUAAAAUAAUUGUUGUUUUCUUUCAGCAAUACAUAGCGCUUCUGUGCGUUCAAAAGAAACAAUCGGGCUGUUACGCUUACUUGAUGAUUUGAAAGACUAUAGUCGCAGGGAUAUGAUCAACACUGAACUAAAAGAAGAAAGUAACACGGAAUCACGG